This 393-nucleotide ribosomal RNA is filed under the name uncultured bacterium. RNAcentral's name for it is "partial 16S ribosomal RNA". It matches the Rfam family "Bacterial small subunit ribosomal RNA", at positions 523 to 918 of the family's 1533-position model. The record is from RNAcentral.
AUACGGAGGAUCCGAGCGUUAUCCGGAUUUAUUGGGUUUAAAGGGAGCGUAGGCGGACGCUUAAGUCAGUUGUGAAAGUUUGCGGCUCAACCGUAAAAUUGCAGUUGAUACUGGGUGUCUUGAGUACAGUAGAGGCAGGCGGAAUUUGAGGUGUAGCGGUGAAAUGCUUAGAUAUCACGAAUAACUCCGAUUGCGAAGGCAGCCUGCUGGACUGUAACUGACGCUGAUGCUCGAAAGUGUGGGUAUCAAACAGUAUUAGAUACCCUGGUAGUCCGCAGAGUAAACGAUGAAUACUCGCUGUUUGCGAUACACGGUAAGCGGCCAAGCGAAAGCGUUAAGUAUUCCACCUGGGGAGUACGCCGGCAACGGUGAAACUCAAAUGAAUUGACGGGG